Molecule: ribosomal RNA, 1035 nt
Filed under: Triticum aestivum (bread wheat)
Lineage: Eukaryota; Viridiplantae; Streptophyta; Magnoliopsida; Poales; Poaceae
Description: partial small subunit ribosomal RNA
Source: RNAcentral
AUGUCGCGGCCGCUCCCCCCGAUGCUCUCCGUGCCGGAGAAGAAGACGGCCGCCGCCGAGCUCUUUCGCGACCGCCACUUCUUCAACUCCCCCGUCUUCACCGAUCUCCGCGACGCCCGCGCCUCCGUCUCUGCCCCGAACCCCCAAACCCAGCCCCCCUCCUCCAGCCGCGCCCUCCUCCUCCGCUACCACCGGCUCCUCUCCUCCGCGCGGGACGACCCCUGCGCCUUCGACGACAACCUAGCCUUCACCUGGCACGAUGCCUUCAGGCCCAACCUCAAGCACACCUCCGCGUCCCUCCGGUUCGAGAAGGCCGCCGUCGUGUUCAACGUCGGCGCGGCCUCCUCGAGGAUCGCUGCGGCCGUGGACCGGGCGGCGGAGGGAGGGGUCAAGGAGGCUUGCGGGGAGUUCCAGCGCGCGGCGGGGGCGUUCCGUGCGGUGGGGCAGAUGAUGGAGGGGGGGGAGGGGACGGUGGAUAUGAGCCCGGAGGCCGCGGCGAUGCUGGAGCGGCUCAUGCUCGCGCAGGCGCAGGAGUGCUGCUUCGAGCGCGCACUCGCGGCUGGAACGUCGCCGGCGGCGUGCUCCAAGGUGGCCAGGCAGGCUGCCUUGUACUACGAAGAAGCGUAUGCUGCACUGGUUAUCCCUCCAUUGCAGAACCACUUUGAAAGAUCAUGGUUGUCUCACGUCCAGUUGAAGGCUGCUCAAUUCAAUGCAGAAGCUUGCUAUCGGUAUGCUAUUGAAUUGCAUGACAAGAUGGAAAUUGGCGAGGAGAUAGCUCGACUGCAGUUUGGGAUUAAUGCAGUUGUUGAUGCCAAGAGAACUGCCAGGGGAGCUCCCGCUUCCCUUUAUGAUUCUGUUUCCAGGCUAGAACAAGAUAUGAACCAGAACUUGGAGAAGGCAGUGAAUGAGAACAACCGCAUCUAUCUUAUGAGAAUUCCAGCAGCCAAGUUGUUGUCUCCCUUGCCAUCAGCUUCACUUGUCCGGUCUGCUUCCAAGAGUGAGGUCUUGGAUGCAAAAGCAGAAACUGGCCUUUAG